CCCGCACAAGCGGAGGAACAUGUGGUUUAAUCGAUGAUACGCGAGGAACCUUACCCGGGCUUGAAAUGCAUCUGACCGGCCUUGAAAGAGGUUUUUCCCCUUCGGGGCAGAUGUGUAGGUGCUGCAUGGUUGUCGUCAGCUCGUGCCGUGAGGUGUCGGCUUAAGUGCCAUAACGAGCGCAACCCUCAUCAUUAGUUACCAUCAGGUAAGGCUGGGGACUCUAAUGAGACUGCCAUCGUAAGAUGUGAGGAAGGUGGGGAUGACGUCAAAUCAGCACGGCCCUUACGUCCGGGGCGACACACGUGUUACAAUGGGUGGUACAAAGGGCAGCUACCUGGCGACAGGAUGCUAAUCUCCAAAACCACUCUCAGUUCGGAUCGGAGUCUGCAACUCGACUCCGUGAAGCUGGAUUCGCUAGUAAUCGCGCAUCAGCCACGGCGCGGUGAAUACGUUCCCGGGCCUU
Molecule: ribosomal RNA, 463 nt
Filed under: uncultured Proteiniphilum sp.
Lineage: Bacteria; Pseudomonadati; Bacteroidota; Bacteroidia; Bacteroidales; Dysgonomonadaceae
Description: bacterial SSU rRNA
Rfam family: Bacterial small subunit ribosomal RNA
Source: RNAcentral